RNAcentral lists this transfer RNA (94 nucleotides) under Planobispora longispora. RNAcentral describes it as "tRNA-Ser". The record is from RNAcentral. Lineage: Bacteria; Bacillati; Actinomycetota; Actinomycetes; Streptosporangiales; Streptosporangiaceae.
GCUCGUAGUAGCGCAGGACGAGUACGGCCCGCUGCUUGCGGGGCAGGGUCGCGAGGGCCUGCCACAGCUCCUGUUCGACGCCGGAGGGGAGCGC